Molecule: long non-coding RNA, 778 nt
Filed under: Solanum pimpinellifolium
Lineage: Eukaryota; Viridiplantae; Streptophyta; Magnoliopsida; Solanales; Solanaceae
Description: long non-coding RNA (SPIM_LNC000178)
Source: RNAcentral
CCCCGAUCUCUUUUCAUUUGUUUUGGAUAUUACCAAACCUAGCCUAGCCUUCGUAAAUCACACUAAAGCGGACACCCAACUAUGGAAAAGCCUCCUUAAGGGUGGGUUAGGUUAGUCAAUCCGGCCCGAGACGCGUUCGUUGACAAAACCGCCGUAGGAAUUCCUACUUUUCAAUAGAGCGGAGGCGAACUGAUCAACGAGAAAGAGGCCCUACUCACUACAAACGAAUACACCACAAGAUUGAACUGCACUCAUGCCUCUCCCGCAUCAAGUUGACCGCCCCCCCUACGUAGUGAUUCUAUCAAUCAUGUACGUAGGUAGGACCCUCCAUUCUGAUUGGUAUAUCAUGAAAAAAGAAAGCCAUUUGCACCAGGCGCACUGCGCUUUCCCUUGCCCAGAUGUUCGCCUUUCUAAGUCAAGUAAUGGUGACCCACCGAAGACUGGAGCUUCGUAACAUGUUGACGAAGGCCCCCGAACUGAGGGUUCGGUCAGUAGAAGGGACGACUUUGUCUCCCCGGAAGAAGAAUAGCCCCGCUCUCUAGCCGACUGAUCCCGUUGAUCAUAUAACUGGGAGGGAACGUGUNUGUUUUGGAUAUUACCAAACCUAGCCUAGCCUUCGUAAAUCACACUAAAGCGGACACCCAACUAUGGAAAAGCCUCCUUAAGGGUGGGUUAGGUUAGUCAAUCCGGCCCGAGACGCGUUCGUUGACAAAACCGCCGUAGGAAUUCCUACUUUUCAAUAGAGCGGAGGCGAACUGAUCAACGAGAAAGAGGCCCU